UCGCCGCCGGCGACGUCGCGAGAAGUCCACUGAACCUUAUCAUUUAGAGGAAGGAGAAGUCGUAACAAGGUUUCCGUAGGUGAACCUGCGGAAGGAUCAUUGUCGAUGCCUGCAAAGCAGAACGACCCGCGAACCGUUUCUCGACAGUCGGGGCACCGGUGGGCGUUCAUUCGACCGCCCGGUACCCCGGCGCUCCGGCCGCUGGGGGUGCGAGCCGCCCCCGGCGGAUGGAGCAUCAAACAAAACCCCGGCGUGCAAAGCGCCAAGGUACUCCAACGGUAGGGCAAGCGCCCGAACGCCUGGACUCCAGUGCGAUCGGGCGUCUGUUCGGUAUCAUAAAUCUAAACGACUCUCGGCAACGGAUAUCUAGGCUCUCGCAUCGAUNNNNNNCGCAGCGAAAUGCGAUACUUGGUGUGAAUUGCAGAAUCCCGUGAACCAUCGAGUCUUUGAACGCAAGUUGCGCCCGAAGCCUUGGCUGAGGGCACGCCUGCCUGGGUGUCACACGUCGCUUCGCCUCCAAAACCUUCCCCCUUGCGGUGAUGGUAUGGAUGCGGAAGAUGGCCUCCCGUGACCGCGAGCCACGGAUGGCCCAAGUCUUUGCUGGGGGAGCGAAGCGCCACGGCUUUCGGUGGUCGGUACUGCCCUCGAGGCAAUCAAUCAAGCCCGUGGUAGCCGCGACAGCCCCCGGUGUACGGCCCUAAUCAUUAGAACAACCAACGCGACCUCAGGUCAGGCGGGGCUACCCGCUGAGUUUAAGCAUAUCAAUAAGCGGAGG
Molecule: ribosomal RNA, 775 nt
Filed under: Combretum englerii
Lineage: Eukaryota; Viridiplantae; Streptophyta; Magnoliopsida; Myrtales; Combretaceae
Description: eukaryotic LSU rRNA
Rfam family: 5.8S ribosomal RNA (bases 348-501)
Source: RNAcentral